Strongylocentrotus purpuratus (purple sea urchin) is the source of this 564-nucleotide long non-coding RNA. RefSeq lists it as uncharacterized. The record is from RefSeq and is a predicted model, not a curated record. Lineage: Eukaryota; Metazoa; Echinodermata; Echinoidea; Camarodonta; Strongylocentrotidae. The transcript has 4 exons.
AAGGAUGGGUUGGGCUUGGAAGAACAAGAGCUAAGGCGAUCAACGAGCAUCAAUCAACUUUACUCACCAAGCCAGCCAAUUUCACAAAAUCGCAAUGGUUUCCAAGAUCCUGAUCGUUUUCAUGGCCAUGCUGGUGGUCGCCAUGGCCUUCGAGUUCCAAGAGACCGACGAGGAUUUCGAUGUCGCGGAAUUCAUGAAGAGGGACCCCGUCAUGCAAGACUACCAGCUAGCUGUCAAGAGGGGACAGUCCAUGAAGAAAUACAAGCCAUGUGUUUCUCUACCGAACUGUUGGUGCAAUAGACGAGGAGGAAAGGUCGCUUUCUGCCCAGGCCAAGGAAACGGUAAUGGAAUCUAGACUAACCCGCUGAAUCUCACUGCCAACAAACCCGCCCAUCGACUGUUUAGGGAUGCACAAAUACGACACGAGAGAAGACUAGAAGCUGAUUUGACCAAUUACUGCGCAGUAUUAAAUGUGACGUCACAUCAUGUCAUCAGUGGUUCUAUCUGGAUCUAAGAAUAUUGGAUAGCUUGAAAUAAAUGGAUGUAUGUAGAAUUAUGCAAUGA